Molecule: long non-coding RNA, 689 nt
Filed under: Mus musculus (house mouse)
Lineage: Eukaryota; Metazoa; Chordata; Mammalia; Rodentia; Muridae
Description: long non-coding RNA chr11:77985716-77986405
Source: RNAcentral
GCUGGCCUUUGCUUUUUUUUUUUUUUUUUUUUUUUUUUGUGAUGGAGUGAGUAAGGCGGCAGUGAGGGCCUGUGGGUUUUGUUGUUGGCCUCUACUUCCUCUAAAGUGUGAUCCACCUGGAGGAAACCCCUCUGGUCCAGUUUCCUUUGCUGUUCUUUUCUAUUUGGGAUGUAGGAGGGCCCAGCUUGGCCUUGAGCUCACAAUCAUCCUCCUGCCUUGGCCUCCAAAGUGUGCAUCAUUGUACCCUGUUCUUGAGUCUGCGCUGCUUACUUUUUUAUUUGAUAUAUUACUAGGACUUUUAAAUUUCUUCUCUUUCUCUUUUUCCUUUUACUAUAAUUUUUGAGACAAUCUUACUGUGAAGCCCUGUUUGACUUGACAUUGUAUUUGCCCAAGUUGACUUCCAAUCUAUGCCAAUCAUUCCUGCCUGGGUCUCCUGAAUGCUGGGAUUACAGGUGUGCACCACCAUGGCCCAGCGCGCUCACUCGUGCGCUCUCUCUCUCUCUCUCUCUCUCUCUCUCUCUCUCUUUCUCUUUUUUAAAGUGUUGGCUAAUAUUACCUCUAUGGUGGAGUAGUUGUUAACGAAGAUUGGUAACUACUGUUGAAUGAACAUUUGAUAAACUCUGUUAUCUUUUUUUUUAAUCUCAAUAUUUAAUAAUGUUGAAACUGUUUAAUAAAAGUCUGAAGCAUCU